GACGAACGCUGGCGGCGUGCUUAACACAUGCAAGUCGAACGGGUCUGCCCUGUUUUUUGCGGGGUGGGUCAGUGGCGAACGGGUGAGUAACACGUGAGUAACCUGCCCCUCACUUCUGGAUAACCGCUUGAAAGGGUGGCUAAUACGGGGUGUUCUGGCUGUGCCGCAUGGUGUGGCUGGGAAAGAUUCACUUUUGUGGUGUUUUGGUGGGGGAUGGGCUCGCGGCCUAUCAGCUUGCUGGUGGGGUGAUGGCCUGCCAAGGCUUUGACGGGUAGCCGGCCUGGGAGGGUGGGCGGUCACACUGGGACUGAGGUACGGCCCGGACUCCUGCGGGAGGCAGCAGUGGGGGGUAUUGCACAAUGGGCGGAAGCCUGAUGCAGCGACGUCGCGUGAGGGAUGGAGGCCUUCGGGUUGUGAACCUCUUUCGCCGGUGAAGAAGGUCCUGCUCUUUGUGGUGGGGUUGACGGUAGCCGGGUUAUGAAGCGCCGGCUAACUACGUG
Molecule: ribosomal RNA, 500 nt
Filed under: uncultured bacterium
Lineage: Bacteria
Description: partial 16S ribosomal RNA
Rfam family: Bacterial small subunit ribosomal RNA
Source: RNAcentral